Molecule: ribosomal RNA, 253 nt
Filed under: uncultured bacterium
Lineage: Bacteria
Description: partial 16S ribosomal RNA
Rfam family: Bacterial small subunit ribosomal RNA
Source: RNAcentral
UACGUAGGGUGCGAGCGUUAAUCGGAAUACUGGGCGUAAAGCGUGCGCAGGCGGUUAUGUAAGACAGUUGUGAAAUCCCCGGGCUCAACCUGGGAAUUGCAUCUGUGACUGCAUAGCUAGAGUACGGUAGAGGGGGAUGGAAUUCCGCGUGUAGCAGUGAAAUGCGUAGAUAUGCGGAGGAACACCGAUGGCGAAGGCAAUCCCCUGGACCUGUACUGACGCUCAUGCACGAAAGCGUGGGGAGCAAACGAGG